GGUCAUCUUUGAAGAAACAAUUUGCAGGGAAAACAAAUAAAAUGCAAGCCACCCAUAUCAUGCAUGAGUUAACUAAUUUGAAGCAGCGCUCAAGAUCUGUAACAGAGUAUCCAGGUGAAGUAAAAAAAUUAUAUAGAAACUUACAUUAUCAUCACCCUUUUGAACCUGUUGACAAGGAUGACUUGGCAAUUCAUCAUGUGUGGUUUGAGUCGUUUGUGAGCAAGCUCUUUCUUGAUGGCCUAGACCAGGAACUAAACCUCCGUCGUCAAUUGAUAUUUGGAAUGCCUGAGUGGCCUAGUCUUGAUGAUAUUAUUUCUAGCAUGAUUGAGGAGGAGACUCGUUUGGCACAACCGAAGGAGGAUGGUCAGGAGCGUGCAGAUGCUCGUGCUGCAUUAUCCAUACAACCUCGCCGUGCUACAAAUUCCUUUGGUAAGGUGGAUAAAAGCAAAUUGCUUUGUGACCAUUGCAAGAGAAAAGGACACACCAAGGAUGAGUGUUUUGAGUUGCAUGGUUAUCCACCUUGGUGGGAUAAAGGGAGAUCUCAGCUAGGGGGAGCUCGGGGUUCAAACAAAAGACAAGCUAAUUACAAUGCAUCUGCAAGGGAACUACAUGUGGUAGAUAUGCAAGCUCUUGAGGAUUUCAAAUCCAAGCUCAAAUUCUCUGAAGGCUCAUCUUCGUCCCAAGGUUCCUCCAAAGUUGAUUCUAGCUUUAAUGCCAUCACCCAAGGUAUGGAAUCCCACCAAGCCCAGUCAAAACCAUGGAUAAUUGAUACUGGAGCUACUAACCACAUGACAGGUGCCUCAAACUUGUUUACUUCAGGCACCUUCCAGUCCAGGCCAGCCAGGGUCCCGGCGACCCUCCUACUCCUACUCCUACCCCUCCCAACUGCCGCUGCCACUGUGCUCACCGAUUCUCAACGGAGGAAAUGGCCAUGCACAGCACACCACACCGCAGUGCACCUACCUAGGGUCGGUCCUCUACCUACCAACCCCCCCACUUUAACGCUAAUCUCCAACAGAAAAAAGGCCAANNNNNNNNNNNNNNNNNNNNNNNNNNNNNNNNNNNNNNNNNNNNNNNNNNNNNNNNNNNNNNNNNNNNNNNNNNNNNNNNNNNNNNNNNNNNNNNNNNNNCGAUUCUCAACGGAGGAAAUGGCCAUGCACAGCACACCACACCGCAGUGCACCUACCUAGGGUCGGUCCUCUACCUACCAACCCCCCCACUUUAACGCUAAUCUCCAACAGAAAAAAGGCCAAAGGCGACGGAGGCUGGACUCACUGGACUGGAAGCCACCCGGCCGGCCUCCUCCUCCUCCUCCUCAGUAGCCCUCACUCUCCCACACUGCUCACUGGUUGGUCGACGAUGAUAAAAACCUCCACACGAUAGGAAUCUCAAGCCAUCCUCCUCCUCCUCCUCCUCCCGGCAGUUUCCUCCACGGCUCCACCACCCCGAGCCCAAGCCAACCGAGCAAAGCGCACGCCAAAGCGAGGGGCUUUGCCUCGAAUCCUGGGCGAGCCGAGCCACGAGCCCCACCACCACUGCUUUCGCCUUUCCGUUCAUUCCAAGAACCGGCGUACGUACAUGGAGCCGGCGGCGGCGGACGGGGCCUCGGACGAGCCGGUGCACAAGGGGCGGACCAACUCCAUCCUGCUCCCCAUCCUCGCCGUGCUCCUCGCCUACCUGCUCUACCGCUACCUCCGCCCGCGCCUCCGCGGCCUGCGCCUCGACCGCCUCCCGUUCCGCGUCCCGGACUGCCUCCGCCGCCGCGGCAAUGCCACCCGGACCACCCUGCUGCCCUACUUCGCGCCCAUCGCCGACCGCCUCGGCGCGCUGCAGCCCUACCUCGGCCCCAUCGCCGACCGCCUCGGGGUCGGCGGCCCGCACGGCCACGGCGGCGGGUACGGCGGCGCCGACGCGCUCGUCAGGUUCCCCGGCGGCGAGGGCCUGUCGGUGGCCGCCAUCCUCGAGGCGCCUGGGGAGGUGGUGGCCAAGUCGUCGCACAGCACGCUCUACCGCGCCGCCAUGCGCUCCGGGGAGACGGCCGUGCUGCUCCGGUUCGUGCGGCCCGCGUGCGCCGUGGGCGCCGACGAGGCCGCCGCCGCCGCGCGCCGGAUCGGCGCCGUCAGCCACCCGAACCUCGUGCCGCUCCGCGCCGUGUACGUCGGGCCCAGGGGCGAGAAGCUGCUCGUGCACCCUUCUACGCCGCCGGCUCGCUCCACCGAUUCUUGCAAGGUCAGUGCAUGCGCAUCACUCACUCUUGCUUUGGUCGACAUGUUCAUCCUGAUUCGUACAAAUGCACAAUUUUGCUACGUCAAAAGUGCACAUGAGCCCACACCGCAAAUGAAACUUUUUCUUAAUUCUAUUUGUUGCGACGAGAUCACACAUGAAACAUUAUGCAAUUACAUUUCGUCACAAAGGGAAAAGCAUGGCGUGGUUGCGAAGCGAGUUCGAAGACUCCAAAAAGGCAGAUCAGCAGCUUUCACUAAACAAAAAUCAUUUGGGCCAUCAGUUUCAACUUUCUUUUUCGAUAAUCAGUAUCAACUUUUGAGGCAAUGUGGAAUGUGUUACACAGUUUGGUUAUGGUACAGAGUCCAUUUCUUAUUUCCAGUUCAUGUUCGCUGGUUCUUAUUAUUAUUGCCUACUGCGGCCAGGCAGGAAACAUUUCUCUGCUUUGGUUGUUAGCCUGAGACCUCACAUGACACUGUCCUGAAGCAAUGGUCCUGGCCAUUAAUGUUACAUAAGGUCAUUAGAUCACCCUUCACAAUCGUGAUCAUUGGGGCACACAAUCAGUCCAGUGUGUUGCUCAGUUAAAACAGUGGUUAGUGCUGUAUAGUCGUCUGUCAAACAGUAGUGAACAUAGUCAUUGUUGUGCCUUAAUUGAAGGCACAUGCACACAUGUGCAGUCUUUUCAAGCCAAAACCAUGCAUUCAUAAUAUUGGCAUUUGUUGUGAUGGUAGCUGAUGAUAGUCUGCCUGUGUGCUGCCAUUUUCACAGAGGGGAUCGCCGACUCGCAGAGAUGGAGCCUGAUCUGCAAGCUCUCCGUGUGCAUCGCCAAGGGGCUCGACCACCUGCACACGGGGAUGGAGAAGCCGAUCAUCCACGGCAACCUCAAGACGAGCAACAUCCUCCUCGACGCCAGCUACGAGUGCAGGAUCUCGGACUACGGCCUCUACCUCCUGCUCAACACCGGCGGCGCCCACGAGAUGCUGGAGGCGUCGGCGGCGCAGGGGUACAAGGCGCCGGAGCUGGUCAAGAUGAGGGACGCCACCAGGGAGAGCGACGUGUACAGCCUGGGCGUGGUGCUGCUGGAGAUGCUCGCGCAGAAGGAGCCCGCCGGCGACGACGACCGCGCGCCCAGCUCCCGCGACAUCUUCCUGCCGGCGUCGUUCAAGAACCUGGUGCUCGAGAGGAAGAUCUCCGACGCCUUCAGCUCCGACCUCGUCAGGCAGAGCAGGAAGUCGGGGAACGAGAAGAAGCUGAACGCGUUCUUCGAGCUGGCCACGGCGUGCUGCAGCCCUUCGCCGUCGCUCCGGCCCAACACCAAGGAGAUACUCAGAAGGCUUGAGGAGAUAGCAAAAUAAUUAACUAAAUGUGGGUAGGUUCACCAUUCAGACGUAGCACGAGGCAAGGCUCAAGGAACGACUGAACCUCUGCUGGACGGAAAAUUGGAGAAUGGAGGCACACGGUUCAGAUAUCAUGGAAUGUGUAUAGUCAGAGUGUAAGCGCGGUGGAGGCCAUCGUCUCAAGAAUAUACUCAUUGUACGUAAUUUAUUUUCUUGUGCUUUGCUUGAAACCGACCAUGUACAAAGUGUUGAAAGAGUGGGGACGGCGUAUGCUGCAUGUUCAUGCAUCAAAAUCGCCAUGUCGAUGUAACCUUGGUCUGAUCUGAGUGUUAUAUCAGAUAUGAUUGGUAGGAGCAUUUGCUGUGCAGCUUGUGAUGUUCCCGGUGCAUGUGCGGUUGUUCUACUUGUACGCACUGACAAGGGCCGGCAGGGAGUGAUUCUCUCCAAGGGAAUUAUGCCCAGCGUUGCCUGAUUUCGGUCUCUGCACAGUCAUGCUGUCCUUAACAGUGGCUAGAUUCCGAAAUAGUAAGAAAUUAAGAUUCGGAACUUUUGGUUGUAGCUAGAUUGCUCAGCGGCAUGGCCUCAAAAACAGGUCACCAUCCACCACCUUCUCUUUCGCCGACACCAAAAGCGUAGCGUCCGUAACACACGGGCCUACAGUCUGCUGAUUUAUUUCGUAACCUGCAAAUGAAUCGCCUAUUCACUAUCCCACGUCAACAAAUGAUCAUCCUGUGCUAGCUUAAGCUUACCAAACGAUCUUCGGCUUGACGCCAGAAAAACUUACUGAUCAUCUCGAGUCUCCUUGUCCCUGAAUUAUCGUAAUGAGACGGAACAUGAAAGGCAUGUGUCAUGGCCUCCGCUGGCCGAGUGAUUAUCAGGUGGGUGAGGCCUUGGUUUGUGCCACCGGUUAGCCGCGGCGUCUCUCUCGCAGCGCAGGGAAAGCGGCAGCACGUGAAGCGCCAACGAACCCACCGAGAAAACUUGGAGCAAGCCUCCAAGCCUCCAAGCCGGGACCGCCUCUCGUCGUCCUCCAACUCCGCGGCCCCCUAAUGGUAGAUCUUGUGGGCACGUACAUACGUCCGUAGGCCGUAGCGUAGAUCAAAUGCCCCUGCGCGCGCUCAGGCCGGCCGGCCGGUCCGGUCCGGUGCACGGACGCCUGCGCUCGCCGUGCCGUAUCAUCAAUUUGCUAAUGCACAUGUCCCUUGGUCACAAAUCUUACGAUGUGUACUGUCGACGCGUUUUUACUGCCUCUGGCCCGUUGCCGACGCCGACGCCGAUGCCAUGGCCGUGCGCCGUGGUCCUCGCCCGUCCAUUCGCGGCUACUACAGUUGUGCGCGCCGUCCGUCGUGUAGCGUCUUGUGGGCAUGCGGCGUGCACCGUGUUUAACUUGGUAAGCUAAGCCGCACACGGCGAAGUGUUCGGGUCGGUGGGAGGCGGGUCACCGUACCUACCUAUGCGUCGACAUGUACCCGGUGUACGUACGUGCCGGGCCGCGACGGCGAUGGCUGGGGAGAGGAGAUGGUGGUGGAUUGGUGGUGGCGGUGGUUGCGCGUGGCUGGCGCGGCGGAGUAGGAGUGGUAGGGCGUCGGGGCGGUACCACGCGGAUUGGGUGCGCGUGCACGGCGCCGAGCGCAGGGGGCUGCGUGGCCGGAUGAUAGAUGCGUCGCACGCAGGCGCAGGCAUGUGGGCGUCAUGUGGUAGGGAGUUGGCUGUGGGUGCUACUACUGGGUGAGAUAAGGCUCUGAUAAGAUGUGAUUUGGCUACUGCCGCUCGCGAUUCGCUGCUGCGCUGUCUACUCAUUGCGAGAGUUGGUGCUUGUCACUGAAUGUGAAUGGUACCGUACCGGAGUUAAAUCAAGUGAAAGCAGCAAGUACCACUGCCGGUGCCGGGGUUUAUUUAUGUUGGGUUGCACUGCGGCGCUGCAAUCAUCGCUCUUCCGUGCGGCUUCAUUCGUUCCUUUGCUGGGGCCGGGGGAAACGGGUUGGCCUUGGCCGUCGCCGGCCGAAUGCAAUAUGGCAUCGCGACCCAAAGCUUUUGCUGCGGUAUUGCCGACUUGCAAGUUAAGUUUUUUUUUUUAAUGAACGAGCAAGCUCGGUUGAGAUCCUUGCCUUUUCAACCUUGAACAGCGGUAUUUGUUUUGAUAGAGUAUUUUUCAUUAAUUCAUAUUGAAACACAAGCAGAUGUACAAAAUACAACGAGCACACAGCCAGCCACUACACGACUAGGAUGCACACAACCAAUACACACACAAAGAUAUUCAUCACAAGAUCAAAACUAUGCCUAGGUCAAAUGGAAAAGAAAGAGAAAAGAAAAGGAGAAAGGACUUCGCCGAAGCAGUAGAAACAACCAUUGAUGUGGCAUGCCCUACUGCAAACAUGACUAGUACACAAGUCAUGGUGAGUACGUCGGUCAAUGACAAGCGGUUGCAGGCAACUUCGGCAGUCGUCGACAAAGGGGUGCGAACGGAGGAUAUUACGAAUGAGGCAGCGACAAUGCAUGUGGACGAGGCGGAUGUCGGAAAGAAAGUUGUUGAUGUGAGUUGUAAUUAUGUAAGGACAUGAGGAUUAUAUUGUAAAAGAACAAAAAUCUAAAUGAAGGGAGGUGAGAAGGGGAUCGGUAGAAGACCCCAGAUUUUUCCCCAAUGUCUCCUCUCCUUCAUGAACCCUAGUUCACAAAUCCAUGAGUGACAAGAUGGUAUCAGGGCGGGACGAAUCCUGUGUGGUUCUCCUGUGAUUUCGAUUGAUUUUGGUCGUCGGUGCGGUGCGGUGCUGUGUCGCUCCUAUUGUUGGAGGUGCUUCUGCUGCUGGCUUUGUUGUAGGUGUCGGGAAGCGACCUCGAUUCUGCCUGAAUCAAGUACAACCGGGGAGGCUCCUGCAGCUACCAGUUGAAUUGAAUAGAGCCUGGGCGUCUAGACUCCCUCCCCCGCUACAAGCUAAUUUUUUCUCUCCUGCCAUCCGGCGCCGUGAGCAGGUCUAGUUCGUCCCCAACUUGACUCUCGGACUCCUUGAGCUUCUGUGUUUUUUAUUGCUUUAGAAGAAGAAUCAGUGUUGCCUGGAGCUGCUUUGGUGGUCAGCUGGCCGGAUUAAAUAAUACUAUUUGCUAGUGUUGCAAUCCGAAGUAAUUGCCGUACUCUUUGGCACAUUGUUGAGCCGUACUAGUUGGUUCCUCUUUGUGCUGCACGUAUUUGAUAAGAAGAACCAAGUACUAGUGUUGGAAUAUAUUCUUGCUCACUGAACCAUGGGAGAUCCAAGUACAGAAAAACAGGGGAUUCUAGUGUUGAUAAGAUGUAUGAAAUAUUUAGCAAACUGCUUAAGCACCAGCAGGCUGCUGAGCCAGUUAAGCAUACACUUGAGCCAAAUCCAGUCAAACUAUCAGGACCUGGUGACUACAUCAGUUGGGCACGCCAUGCCAAAUUGAUUUUGAGCGCCAAUGAGUAUGAUUAUUUACUUGUUGGGAGUGAAGAAAGUUUGGAGAAAGGCGGUGCGGGCAGGAAACAAAUCAAUGAUAAAGUACUAGUAUGGCUGUUGGAAAGUAUGGAACCAAAAAUAAGAGAACAAGUGGAAGGCAUGGACACUGUUUGUGAGGUCCGGUCAUCUUUGAAGAAACAAUUUGCAGGGAAAACAAAUAAAAUGCAAGCCACCCAUAUCAUGCAUGAGUUAACUAAUUUGAAGCAGCGCUCAAGAUCUGUAACAGAGUAUCCAGGUGAAGUAAAAAAAUUAUAUAGAAACUUACAUUAUCAUCACCCUUUUGAACCUGUUGACAAGGAUGACUUGGCAAUUCAUCAUGUGUGGUUUGAGUCGUUUGUGAGCAAGCUCUUUCUUGAUGGCCUAGACCAGGAACUAAACCUCCGUCGUCAAUUGAUAUUUGGAAUGCCUGAGUGGCCUAGUCUUGAUGAUAUUAUUUCUAGCAUGAUUGAGGAGGAGACUCGUUUGGCACAACCGAAGGAGGAUGGUCAGGAGCGUGCAGAUGCUCGUGCUGCAUUAUCCAUACAACCUCGCCGUGCUACAAAUUCCUUUGGUAAGGUGGAUAAAAGCAAAUUGCUUUGUGACCAUUGCAAGAGAAAAGGACACACCAAGGAUGAGUGUUUUGAGUUGCAUGGUUAUCCACCUUGGUGGGAUAAAGG
RNAcentral lists this long non-coding RNA (7683 nucleotides) under Triticum aestivum (bread wheat). RNAcentral describes it as "long non-coding RNA (TAES_LNC010534)". The record is from RNAcentral. Lineage: Eukaryota; Viridiplantae; Streptophyta; Magnoliopsida; Poales; Poaceae.